This 786-nucleotide non-coding RNA is filed under the name Romalea microptera (eastern lubber grasshopper). Lineage: Eukaryota; Metazoa; Arthropoda; Insecta; Orthoptera; Romaleidae. The record is from RNAcentral.
AAGUUUUAUUCUUGCUUACUUAUUUACUUUUUUCUUUGUCUUAUAUGCAAGUUCUUGAUUUACUAAAUGUUCUUUUUGCAGUAAUUUAAUUUAAUUAUCAAGUGAUUUUGGAAUUAGCAAUUGUUUAAGUGUCGGCAUAAUUCGUGCCAGCAGCCGCGGUUAUACGAUUGAUGCAAGUAAAUAUUAUUGGUUUAGACAGUUAUUUUUAUUUUAAGGGUUUAUUAAUAAAUUAAUAAGGUGAAAUUUAAAAUUUUUCUAAGAUUCUUUUUAUGAGGCUGUGAAACUUAAAUAAUAAACUAGGAUUAGAUACCCUAUUAUUUUAAGUGUUAAUUAAGUUUACCAGGGUAAUAUUAGUUAAGAUCUUUAAACCUAAAGAAUUUGGCGGUAUCUCAUUCCGUUCAGAGGAACCUGCCCCGUAAUUGAUAGUACACGAUUAACUCUACUUAAUUUAUUUGUUUGUAUAUCUCCGUUAUCAGAAAAUCUUUUUAGAGUUAAAAUUUUCUUAAUUUAUAAUUAUAAAAUAUUUCAGGUCAAGGUGCAGCUUAUAAUUAAGAGGAGGUGGGUUACAAUAAAUUUUAUUUAUGACGGAUUAAUAUUGAAAUGUUAUUAAUGAAGGUGGAUUUGAAAGUAAUUUAAUUUAUUUAUUAUCUGAUAUGUGUACACAUCGCCCGUCGCUCUCAUUAUUAAUUAUAACUAUAAUUUAAAGUUUAUUGAUUUAAUUAUUAAAUUAGAUGAGAUAAGUCGUAACAUAGUAGAUGUACUGGAAAGUGUAUCUAGUAAGAUUAU